AGCAGCCGCGGUAAUUCCAGCUCCAAUAGCGUAUAUUAAAGUUGUUGCAGUUAAAAGGCUCGUAGUUGAAUUUCGGGGUUAGUAGGUUGGUCAUGCCUCUGGUAUGUACUGGUCUCACUGAUUCCUCCUUCCUGAUGAACCUUAACGCCAUUAAUUUGGUGUUUGGGAAUUGGACUGUUACUUGAAAAA
RNAcentral lists this ribosomal RNA (189 nucleotides) under uncultured Glomus. Its description in RNAcentral is "partial 18S ribosomal RNA". It matches the Rfam family "Eukaryotic small subunit ribosomal RNA", at positions 569 to 764 of the family's 1831-position model. The record is from RNAcentral. Lineage: Eukaryota; Fungi; Glomeromycota; Glomeromycetes; Glomerales; Glomeraceae.